This 383-nucleotide ribosomal RNA is filed under the name uncultured eukaryote. RNAcentral's name for it is "partial 18S ribosomal RNA". It matches the Rfam family "Eukaryotic small subunit ribosomal RNA", at positions 592 to 976 of the family's 1831-position model. The record is from RNAcentral.
CAAUAGCGUAUAUUAAAGUUGUUGCAGUUAAAAAGCUCGUAGUUGGAUUUCCGGCAGGAGCGACCGGUCACACACUCUGUGUGUGAACUUGUGUUGUCUCUGGCCAUCCUUGGGGAGAUCCUGUUUGGCAUUAAGUUGUCGGGCAGGGGACAUCCAUCGUUUACUGUGAAAAAAUUAGAGUGUUUAAAGCAGGCUUAUGCCGUUGAAUAUAUUAGCAUGGAAUAAUAAGAUAGGACUUCGGAACUAUUUUGUUGGUUUGCGUUACGAAGUAAUGAUUAAUAGGGACAGUUGGGGGUAUUCGUAUUUCGUUGUCAGAGGUGAAAUUCUUGGAUUUCCGAAAGACGAACUACUGCGAAAGCAUUUACCAAGGAUGUUUUCAUUAA